RNAcentral lists this long non-coding RNA (4716 nucleotides) under Theobroma cacao (cacao). RNAcentral describes it as "long non-coding RNA (TCAC_LNC000355)". Lineage: Eukaryota; Viridiplantae; Streptophyta; Magnoliopsida; Malvales; Malvaceae. The record is from RNAcentral.
CCGGCCAUAGCAAGAACAAAGGAAGAAAAGAAGAGCACAAACCCUAGGUGGAAAAAUUCAAGGGAAAAGUGUGAAAAUUCAAGUAAUCAAGCAAUCAAAGGUAAAAUUUCUUGAUUUUGACUUGCGAUCUACCUUUUCCAUACAUUAUUUUGCAUUUUCCAUGGUUGAAUCACAAGAAAUCAUGAAGGAUUCAUGGCUGACUGAAUUUAGAGAAAGAAGAUUUGAUGGUUGUUUUGGUUAGAUUUUAAGAUAUUCUAGUGUUUUUAGUUAGUUAGUGAUGUGUAGAAUACUGUGUUUAGACGAUAAUCCGAACAAUUUGCAUCCCAUUUCAUACAUUAGUAUUAAAGACUGAAUUGGUUUUAUAACAAUUUAGCAUAAUGUAGUAAAUGGCUUAUUGUGCAUUAUGUCUAGGUGGUGAGCAUUCUGGCAAAAGUAAAGAGAUAGUACCCGAGGAAUCAAGAAUCGGAGUACUUGGAAUUCGACUCCCGAAAUAGUGAGUAACCUUACUAUCAUCUUAAUUAUCUAAAGUAUAUUUUAUUUGAUUUUGUGAAUUUUAUGGAAAAUGAAUUAAAUGAUUAAUUUUUCAGUUUUAUAAACCAAAUGUGAUUUAAUGAAAUGAUUUCAUAAAAUUGUUUUAAAAUUGAAUGAUGGUUUGAAAAUAGAGUAAUUGGAGACUGUUUUUGUAUGUUGUAAAUUCAUGAAUCUAAUUGAUUAGCUUAUGGCAAUAUUGGUAUGAAUGGUUGAUUUGAUAAAUGUGUUGGAAAUGUAUAAAUUGUUGAUUUGCCUUGCAAGGCUGUAAAAUGAAAUAAAAUAUUUGCCAUGUCAUGCUAUUGCAAAUUUUAUUGAAUUGAUGGGUUAUAUAUUGGUCGCUACAGUGGACAGGUUUCGUGGACCAGCCUAUUAGAGGGGCACGGUAACCUUAUUAUAUUCAUACCUCAGUAUGAGAGGCGCGGUUGGAUAACUUUUGAGGUUAAAACUUUAGAGUUCACUUCACGCCAAACCACCACGUGAGGGUGAACUCAGCCAACGCCAAGGAACGACUAUGUUUUCAAAAUAAAAACAAAAUUUAUGCGUACAUAACUUUUUAACAGCCUUGGCAAACUCGGUUGGGAUAGCCCUCGGCCAAGGUAUCCCUAAUAACUGAGUAUGAGAAUGAUUUUGGCACGAGCUAGAGUUUUAAGAAAUUCAUAAGCCAUGUUGAUUACUCGAUUUAUAUGAAUUGAUUUUAUUUGGUUGAAAUGAGUUGAAAGGUGAUGAAUUACAGUAUGUUUGAAUUUAUUUAGCUUUUACGCUACAAAAACUAUUUACCAGUAACUCUAUAAAUAUUAUUUUAUAAGAAAAUAGAAUAUUUUAUUGAAUAUUUUUAUUAUGUUCACAUAGUUAUAAUUUCACUUAAAAUGAAUGUUUUAGACAUCUAAACUUAUUUUUGAUUAUGAAUUUUGUGUUUUAUACUCGUAUGCUACAUUUUUAACUGGUUUCGAAAUUUUUGAAAAAAAUGACCAAAAUACCCUUGUGUAGUUGAAAUUUCUCUUUGACUGUUUUUGAACUGAAAUUGGUUCAUAUCACUUUAAAACAUGAUUUUAGUAACUAAUACUCGCAGGGGAAGCGAGAAAACUAAUGUUAAGCCUUGCGAGGUAUCGAUUGGCAUUCCGGGUAAUGAAUGUCUAUCGGGACAUCGCGACGAUUAUCACGGGCUCGAUGGGAGUUUCGGGUCAUAACAAGUUCUGCCAUGGAUCUUGUGAAAGCAAGCACUAAGUUAUGUGAUUAUAAAAAGAAAGCUGUAAGCUGAGAGUGAUAUUAGUAUUAAUAUUGAAAAGUACUUAAGGAGAAUCUAGUUUCAAGUUUUACAAUUUUAAGUGCAAUUUAUAAAUUGGUUAAGGGAGAAUGAUGUUAUGUUCAUAUGAAAGACUGGAACAAAGGAUGAUUGAAGUUGACCUUGAUAAUGAAGUCAGAUAAUGAAACUUUCCUAAUAUAUUAUGGAAAUUAGAAUUCGAAAAUGCUUGAGGCAUACAUGAUUCAAAUGAGUUUGAGUUUUAAGUGACAAAUCAAUAUCCGAAUGCAAGAAGGAUACAAGGUAAUGUAGAGGCAUGAAAUAUAAUCGAGGAAUAGGGAUGACUCUUAGGAAUUGUGGUAUUGCAUGAGAUGCAAUGAUGAAGUUAAGAAAAUUUUUGAAGUAUCAAUGGGAUUAUAAAGCAUACACGCAUAAUAGAUUAUAAUUCAAUGGAGAUAACAUUGUGAUGCAAUGAUAUAUAGUACAAGAAAACUUAAGCAUAUAAUUGGAAAUGAUAAGAAGAGAGUAUAAGUAUGUAAUGAUGUGAAACUAUGCACAGGCAUGAUGAGAAUUUGUAUGAAUUACGAAAACUAUUCUAUUGAAUCUUGGUUAUGGAUAGGAAUGAACAAAAAGAAAUUAGUCUGAAGGUAUUUGUAAAGAGAGACCCAUAUAUGUCAAGCCUGACUGUAUAAAAUACUUGCCAUGUCAUUCAUGUGAUUGACAAUAUGCUUGCAUACUAGGAAAGCCCCGAAAACUUGUAAAAAGUCGAUAGUGUACUUAAUAGUACAACUAAGUUGAAUUAAGCCUCGAACUAGAUCAAAUGAAGAUUUUAAGGUGAAAUUUAAAAUUUUAAGUUUUCAGAAUAACUUAAAAUGGUGAUUCAGAGUUUGAGAACCGAUUUGGAGUCAAAUUGGAAUUUUCAUGAUCUGGGGGCAAAAUGGUCAUUUCGCCACCUGAGGUUGAGAUGUGAGAGUUAGAUGAAAUUUUUGACUAAGAUUGAUCAUUUGGGGUAUAAUUUGAGUUUGAGAAGUGAAGAAUUUUAAUUUCGGUGUUUUUCGAGGAUAGGGGUAAAAUGGUCAUUUUGCCACCCCAAGGGCAAAAUGGUAAUUUUACACACCCAACACUUGUCAUGCUGAUAGAAUUCAUCCAUUGACUUUUUAUGUUAUGGAUAAGUGAGGUAAUAUAUGUGAUGGAGAUAAAAAGUUUAAAAUUUUAAAGUUUUAAAAAUGGACCAAUAAUAAAAUGACACUUGUCAAGCUUAGAAUAUUUUAUUAUUUCCUUUAAAAAUUAGCCUAUAAACGUCUCACUUCUCUCCAAAUAUUCGGCCAAGCAAGGAAAAGAGGGAAACAAAGAAAGAACAAGUGGAGAAUUUCAAGAGAAAAAGCGUGGAAAAUCAAGGAAAACAAGUGAAAAAGGUAAGAUUUUUCAAUUUAAACUUGAAAUCUAUUUUCCUUAAGCAUUUCUCCUUAUUUUCCAUGGCUAAAUUUCAUGUUUUCAUGGUGAAUUCAUGGCUAGCCGAAUGGGUAUGGAGAGAGAAUGAUGUUGGAUUGAUUUGAUUUCAAGUUACGUUAGUGUUUUUAGUUAGUUUACCAUGUCUAGAAGCAAAACAAUAAGAAAAGAAUUCAUUUUCCCCAUUGCCCAUCAAUGGCCGAACCUACCUUGUAUUGAGUGAGGAUGAAUUUGAUUUUUAUUUUAAGAGAAUUGGUUAGAAAAUGAUGAAUUAUGGUGUGGAAAAGUAGUAGGAAAAAUUACGGUGUUAAUGCACCAUUAUUGACCGAAAACUCUAAGAAGAAAAGUGAAGAUGGUUUUGCCAAAUUUUAGGUUAUUUGACUUAUGUUUGUUGAAUUAAGGUAUUGGAAAAGAAAUGGAGCAAUUUGGAGCUAAAUUGGACGCAUUGGCCAAUUAAUAGGGUGAUAAGACGAAUUAGGCCAAUACCGAGUUUAGAUGGUUACCCGUGCAUUUUACAUUCCAUAUCAUGCAUUAGUAGUCUAAAUUACUUUAAUUUCGAUUUAGUACCAAUGUAGUAAGUUUCUCGAUUUUGUACUAUGUUAAGGUGGUGAGUCCUCUGAUAAAGGCGAGGAAAUUGCAUCCGAGGACCAGUAGUCAGAGUACUUCGAAAAUCCGCACUCUAGACAUUGUGACUAAACUUACUGUCAUUUUAAUUAUCUAGGGUGGCUUUUAGAUGAUUUUAUGAAUUCUAUGGAAAAAUGGAUUUAAAAAGGUAAAUUUUCAUGUUUUAUGAAUAAAUGUGUUUCAAUUAAAUUAAUUUAUAAAUUGUUUUGAAAUUAAUGAUGGUUUUGAAAAAUAAAGUACACGGAGACUGCUAUUUGUUGCAAUUUGAUUGUUUAAAUUGAUUGGCUUAUGAUAAAUCGGGCAUGAUUGGUUGGUUGGCAAUUGUAUUGAAAUACGGAUUGUUUGUUUGCCUUGAAAGGCUGUGUAUUACAAUAAUUACCAUAUCAUGUUAUUGAAUUUUAUUGAUUGGUGGGAUAAUUAUUAGCUUACUGUAGUAGGCGGGUUCCGAGGACCAACCUAUGAGAGGGGCAUGGUAACCCUGUUUAUAUGUGCUCAGCUCGGUUGUAGAGGCGUGUAGGGCAGCUGUUGAGGUGAUAUUUGAGUUCACUUCGCGCCGAACCACCACGUGAUGGUGAACUCAGCGAACGCCAAGGAAUGACUGUGAUGUCCAACGAAAAAUGUGUUUUAUGCGAAAUGUGAAUUUUUAACAACCUUGGCUAUCUUGGUAGGAUGCCUUGGCCAAGGUGUCCCCGAGGAUAGAUUUAUGGCACAAGCCUAGUUUUUAUGAGAUUCAUAAGCCUCGUUACGUAUUUUGAAUGAAAUGUGUUCUAAUGCUAUGACCCAGUUUACGAUGAUUUAUUUUAUUAUCUUCAUGUACUCAACUUUAGAUGUUUAUGAUGAUGUCUGUUUACUCGCUAGGAUUUUAUAAUCUC